Molecule: unclassified non-coding RNA, 250 nt
Filed under: Glomeraceae sp.
Lineage: Eukaryota; Fungi; Glomeromycota; Glomeromycetes; Glomerales; Glomeraceae
Description: partial contains 5.8S ribosomal RNA and internal transcribed spacer 2
Rfam family: 5.8S ribosomal RNA (bases 1-71)
Source: RNAcentral
GUGAAUCAUCGAAUUUUUGAACGCAAAUUGCACUCUCUGGUAUUACGGAGAGUAUGCCUGUUUGAGGGUCAGUUUAAACGAAAAUCGGUGUGGUUGCUGACUUUCGUGGUGAUGUACCGGAUUUGAGUCGUGUUGUCUUGGGUUAAGUGACCUAAAAUUUUGGCUGAUUUUUUCGAAUGUAUUUAAAUGACUUUACGUUCGUUUGCGAUACAGUUUUCUAGGGGUGGUCAUCAUCAUGUUUCGCGCCUAU